GGACCUGACUGCUAUCGGAUUGAUACUAAGCCAUGCGAGUCAUUGUAGCAAUACAAGGCAUACGGCUCAGUAACGCGUAGUCAACCUAACCUAUGGACGGGAAUAACCUCGGGAAACUGAGAAUAAUGCCCGAUAGAACAUUAUGCCUGGAAUGGUUUAUGUUCCAAAUGAUUUAUCGCCGUAGGAUGGGACUGCGGCCUAUCAGUUUGUUGGUGAGGUAAUGGCCCACCAAGACUAUUACAGGUACGGGCUCUGAGAGGAGUAGCCCGGAGAUGGGUACUGGGACACGGACCCAGGCCCUAUGGGGCGCAGCAGGCGAGAAAACUUUUGCAAUGUGCGAAAGCACGACAAGGUUAAUCCGAGUGGUUUCUGCUAAAGAAACCUUUUGUCAGUCCUAGAAACACUGAUGAAUAAGGGGUGGGCAAGUUCUGGUGU
RNAcentral lists this ribosomal RNA (435 nucleotides) under uncultured archaeon. Its description in RNAcentral is "bacterial SSU rRNA". It matches the Rfam family "Archaeal small subunit ribosomal RNA", at positions 19 to 458 of the family's 1478-position model. The record is from RNAcentral.